RNAcentral lists this ribosomal RNA (817 nucleotides) under uncultured bacterium. RNAcentral describes it as "bacterial SSU rRNA". It matches the Rfam family "Bacterial small subunit ribosomal RNA", at positions 8 to 825 of the family's 1533-position model. The record is from RNAcentral.
AGAGUUUGAUCAUGGCUCAGGAUGAACGCUGGCGGCGUGCCUAAUACAUGCAAGUCGAACGAAGCACCUCGGUGCUUAGUGGCGAACGGGUGAGUAACACGUGGGUAACCUGCCCUCAAGACGAGGAUAACCGUUGGAAACGAUGGCUAAGACUGGAUAGGAAUACGGGAGGCAUCUUCUGUAUUUUAAAAGACCUGGCAACAGGUAUGCUUGAGGAGGGGCCUGCGGCGCAUUAGUUAGUUGGUGAGGUGAUGGCUCACCAAGACGAUGAUGCGUAGCCGGACUGAGAGGUUGAACGGCCACAUUGGGACUGAGAGACGGCCCAAACUCCUACGGGAGGCAGCAGUAGGGAAUUUUCGGCAAUGGGGGAAACCCUGACCGAGCAACGCCGCGUGAACGACGAAGUACUUCGGUAUGUAAAGUUCUUUUAAGAGGGAAGAAUGGCCCGUGGAAAAGCGGGCGUGACGGUACCUUUUGAAUAAGCCCCGGCUAACUAUGUGCCAGCAGCCGCGGUAAUACAUAGGGGGCAAGCGUUAUCCGGAAUUAUUGGGCGUAAAGGGUGCGUAGGUGGCCAUUUAAGUCUUUGGUGUAAGUUCAGCGCUCAACGCUGUGAUGCUAAAGAAACUGGGUGGCUUGAGUGUGGUAGAGGCAAGUGGAAUUCCAUGUGUAGCGGUAAAAUGCGUAAAUAUAUGGAGGAACACCGGUGGCGAAGGCGGCUUGCUGGGCUACAACUGACACUGAAGCACGAAAGCGUGGGGAGCAAACAGGAUUAGAUACCCUGGUAGUCCAUGCCGUAAACGAUGAGUACUAAGUGUAG